RNAcentral lists this ribosomal RNA (403 nucleotides) under uncultured bacterium. RNAcentral's name for it is "bacterial SSU rRNA". It matches the Rfam family "Bacterial small subunit ribosomal RNA", at positions 29 to 457 of the family's 1533-position model. The record is from RNAcentral.
AACGAACGCUGGCGGCAGGCCUAACACAUGCAAGUCGAACGCCGUAGCAAUACGGAGUGGCAGACGGGUGAGUAACACGUGGGAACGUACCUUUCGGUUCGGAAUAACUCAGGGAAACUUGAGCUAAUACCGGAUACGUGCGAGAGCAGAAAGAUUUAUCGCCGAAAGAUCGGCCCGCGUCCGAUUAGCUAGUUGGUGAGGUAAUGGCUCACCAAGGCGACGAUCGGUAGCUGGUCUGAGAGGAUGAUCAGCCACACUGGGAUUGAGACACGGCCCAGACUCCUACGGGAGGCAGCAGUGGGGAAUAUUGGACAAUGGGCGAAAGCCUGAUCCAGCCAUGCCGCGUGAGUGAUGACGGCCUUAGGGUUGUAAAGACUCUUUCGUCCAGGGACGAUAAUGACGG